GGGGCUGUAGCUCAGUGGUAGAGUGCUUGCCUCGCAUGUGGGAGGCACAGGGUUCAAUCUUCAGCACCA
RNAcentral lists this transfer RNA (69 nucleotides) under Ictidomys tridecemlineatus (thirteen-lined ground squirrel). RNAcentral's name for it is "Spermophilus tridecemlineatus (thirteen-lined ground squirrel) tRNA". It matches the Rfam family "tRNA". Rfam says of the family: Transfer RNA (tRNA) molecules are approximately 80 nucleotides in length. Their secondary structure includes four short double-helical elements and three loops (D, anti-codon, and T loops). Further hydrogen bonds mediate the characteristic L-shaped molecular structure. tRNAs have two regions of fundamental functional importance: the anti-codon, which is responsible for specific mRNA codon recognition, and the 3' end, to which the tRNAs corresponding amino acid is attached (by aminoacyl-tRNA synthetases). tRNAs cope with the degeneracy of the genetic code in two manners: having more than one tRNA (with a specific anti-codon) for a particular amino acid; and 'wobble' base-pairing, i.e. permitting non-standard base-pairing at the 3rd anti-codon position. Lineage: Eukaryota; Metazoa; Chordata; Mammalia; Rodentia; Sciuridae. The record is from Rfam by way of RNAcentral.